Molecule: long non-coding RNA, 201 nt
Filed under: Homo sapiens (human)
Lineage: Eukaryota; Metazoa; Chordata; Mammalia; Primates; Hominidae
Description: non-protein coding lnc-VIPR1-4:1
Source: RNAcentral
GUUGAAAAUGUGGCAGAACAGCUUACUACCAGUAAUUUGAUUUGUGGAAGCUGAAGCCAGGGUUCUCACCUUUGCAAAUAAAUAUUUCUCUCCUCCUCUUCAUUUUAAGUUUACAAGUUAAGACCAAAGGUCAAAAUACUAAGUAUAUUGCAUUUCGUCAAAGUACUAAGUAUUUUGCAUUUCGUCAAAGUACUAAGUAUU